RNAcentral lists this unclassified non-coding RNA (705 nucleotides) under Hevea brasiliensis (rubber tree). The record is from RNAcentral. Lineage: Eukaryota; Viridiplantae; Streptophyta; Magnoliopsida; Malpighiales; Euphorbiaceae.
GCUCCAACAGUGUUUGUAAUACCCUGAGUCCAAACAAAUUCAAGGAGAAACUUCUUAUUUACUCUGCAAUAAGAUAUUUUUCUUUAGACGUUCACGAGAAGCUUUAGCUUCAGUGACGAGCAUUUAAAUAUUCAAUUGGUCCUGGAUUUAACUGGGUUGUGUGAAAUGAAAUGGGUCUCCUCUCUUUUUAAAUGUCAGCAACCCAACAUCAUAUAUUGGUGAGAAUUUUUUUCCCCCUUACUUUAACAGGCCCCUAAUAAGUGGCUGAUGUGGGAUGGUAGUGGCUUAACUAUAACCUCUAAUCUAAAAAAGAUCUUAACGCUUGAUAUGACAUGAAGUGGCUAGUUGAAUGUGAAAGGGAUUAAAUUCAUGCUUUGACUCAACUGCUGGAGCUCUUUUGCUCUCUUGAAUUUUUUUUUACACCCAUAAGAAACUAACUCCACUUUGUAAGAGGUAUAACUGUGAGCAAAUCCUACAUCUCCAUGGCAUAAGUAAUGAUGCAUGUAAUUCAGGAACCAUAUUUUGAGUUGAUGGGAGGUGGAAUAUGCCUAGUUUAUGCUAACAGAACAGUGCUCAACAGUAUGUGAGUAACAAUCCAUGAUUUUCCCAACUAUCUUUGUAAACUGUUAUUUAUAAAAUUCCAGCAUGUGCUAUAAGAAUUUAGAAUUGCAAGUUUACAUACCAACAGUAUACUUGCAUAUUCAG